Long non-coding RNA from Pomacea canaliculata, 1226 nucleotides. RefSeq lists it as uncharacterized. NCBI's taxonomy places the organism in Eukaryota, Metazoa, Mollusca, Gastropoda, Architaenioglossa, Ampullariidae. The record is from RefSeq and is a predicted model, not a curated record. The transcript has 4 exons.
UGUGCUCGCUGUAGGAAGAUGCCGCAUGGCUAACACAAGGAAAUGCUGAAGAUCGGGGAUCGUGCUUAGUCAAAGCAUUGUAAUAAUGCCGACUACAAAACAGUCAACAGAUAACUCCACAGCGUGGCUGAAUGUAUAGUGUGCGUAUAAACCGUUCCAUGUUGUAAAAUAAGACUACACAUUUCUUAAUCAUUGAGAACAGCAAACAGUAUUCCUGACAGAGUGAAAUACAUUAGUGUUUCAGUUUGGUAAAAUGUGUUAUAUAUACUUUUUUUCUUUCAUAUAAAGUAGUCCAGUUUUAUAAUAUUUGCAUACUUUUACAAUGAAUGCUUAAAGUGUGUUCUAUUGUGUUUGCAUUCUGCAAUUAUAAUAUAUAAAAUAACAUUGUUGUAAAGCUGUUGUACAUUAUUGCAAACAUGAAGACUGACCACAGUUACAGUUUAGUUAAACACAAUGUAAACACAACCAAACCAAUUACCUCAUUAGCUUAAAAUUUCAUCUAUUUGAAACUUUAGUGAUAACUUCAAGUAAUCUUUGGGCAAUGUAGGAUAUAUAUUAGAAAAAGAGACAACACAGGCUGCAGAUUGUUUCUGCAUAAAUGUGCACACACGUGAUAAGAUAACAGUAAUUAGAGGUUUUUCAUGAAGAGUUGUGACAAUGCCAUAAAUUAACAUGUUGUGUAGGAUGCUUUACUUUAUUUGUGUAGGAUAUUCAAGAUCCUGGAAGGGUUGUAAGAAAAUCAACUGACAUGGUAUAUGACGAGACUGGUUAUUCCCAAUCUGGAAUGAGUGGAAUUAUAAAAUAAGAACUAAAAUAUUUCAUCACUCUGCAUAUGAAACAGAAUUAUUGCUGUACCACAGCAGCCUGGGGAUAUUAUAUCUGCCACUGCUUACAAAUAGUUUGGAAGUAACUGGCAAGAAUGGAGGAACAAGUCCAAGGACAAAGCCAUCUGAUGAUGGGUCAUGCUGUUGAGGAGCACAGAGAAAUGUUUCGAAGCUUGCUCCACAUAUGAAUCAAGUUACGAAAUGUAGGUGAACAAGGAAUGACUCCAGCAGCAAUCCCAUGUUUCAGGUGAGAAAUUUGAUAGGCUGGAAGAGGAAUCUGUGUGUAGAGAAUUUAGGGGGGAAAGUGGCUGUUGUGAAAUCUAAUUAAAGCUUUUUUCGCAACAACUAGCCUGAAGACUUUGAAGACUCAAAUUCUUUGUUGUAAAUAAAUGUUAAAACCAU